GUCAGUGUAGCAUAGUGGUUUGAGUGUUGGAAUACUACUCUGGAGACCAGGGUUCAAAUCCCCACUGAGC
Phrynosoma platyrhinos (Desert horned lizard) is the source of this 70-nucleotide non-coding RNA. The record is from the annotation of a GenBank genome assembly. NCBI's taxonomy places the organism in Eukaryota, Metazoa, Chordata, Lepidosauria, Squamata, Phrynosomatidae.